This is a long non-coding RNA of Capra hircus (goat), 5159 nucleotides long. RefSeq annotates it as tetratricopeptide repeat domain 9. The transcript has 3 exons. The record is from RefSeq and is a predicted model, not a curated record. NCBI's taxonomy places the organism in Eukaryota, Metazoa, Chordata, Mammalia, Artiodactyla, Bovidae.
UCCGAGGAGGAGGAGGAGGAGAGAGCAGCCUCCCGCAGCUGGCGAGGAGAAUGGGAGUGCGGGACACCGGACCGCCGCGGGGUGUCACGGCCGCGGCCGAGCUCUCCAGGCGCGGGGCCGGCGCCCGCCGCGUUUAAAGCCGGGAGGGCGCGGCGGCGCCGGGCGGCGGCCGAAUGGAGAGGAAGGGCUCGGCGGCCGGAGCCAAGGGGAACCCGAGUCCGCCCGCGGCCGGGGAGGCGCAGCGGCCCCAGCCGCCGCUGUGCGUCCCGGGCGGCGGCGGCGGAGGGACCCCGGCGCGGGGCCAGGCUGGGGCGGCGGCCGAGCCCGCCGAGUUCAUCCGGCGCGCGCACGAGUUCAAGAGCCAAGGGGCGCAGUGCUACAAGGAUAAGAAAUUCCGCGAAGCCAUCGGCAAAUACCACCGAGCGUUGCUGGAGCUGAAGGGGCUGCUGCCGGCCGCCGGGGAACGGGAACGGGACUCGCGCGGGGCCUCCCCGGCCGGGGCUCCCAACCCCGGCCGCCUCUCGGAGGAGCAGAGCAAGACGGUGGAAGCCAUCGAGAUCGACUGCUACAACAGCCUGGCAGCCUGCCUGCUCCAGGCCGAGCUGGUGAACUAUGAGCGAGUCAAGGAGUACUGCCUCAAAGUCCUGAAGAAAGAAGGGGAGAAUUUCAAGGCCCUUUACCGGUCCGGUGUGGCCUUCUACCACCUUGGAGACUAUGACAAAGCACUCUACUACCUGAAAGAGGCAAGAACCCGACAGCCAACAGACACCAAUGUGAUUCGAUAUAUCCAGCUGACGGAGAUGAAGCUCAGCAGAUGCUCCCAGAGAGAGAAGGAAGCCAUGUAACCAGAACACCUUUCUAGAGCCGUGCCUGGCCCAGGACAUCCAAGCACCGCAUGGUGGAGAGCCCCUCCCUGGGUUCUGGUCCUCUCUCCUCACUUCCUCCUCCUAUUACCCCUCACCUCCGUAUCUACUCUCCGUGGGCACAGAAGGAGACCUGCGGAUUUGGAAUCUGGUGGGUUGCCCUGACAGUGGAGACAGCCUCCUUUCAGUAGGGGCAGCCGCUGAAAGAGCCCUGGCUUUGGCGGGAACAGCCAGAGAGGACUGUCACAGGUUGGCAGUGCCCUUACAGCUCCGACUUGGGCCAGCACUCCUGACAAGAGGCAGAGCCCGGCAGGUGCACCCUCCCAGAGGCGUCAGGCAUGGAGCCCACGGGCUGGACCCCUCCACAGCUUCUUCACAGCCUGGAGCAUCUCAAGGCAACUGUGAUGGAUCCAGGAGCCAGACAGACACCAGAAGCAUCGGUUAAGCCCACAGAGUCCGAGAAUUUGUACACUGGAUUUCUGCACACACACACGCGCCCGCUCCCCACCCCCAAGAACCCGCAGCCCCUGCCUCCCUCCCUCCCUCGUGGUCUCGUUCUGUGCUUUCUCCUCUCCCCCUUGGGGAUCUGAGACUCCGCCAGGAUUCACAUGCCAUCGAAACCCACUCUCAAUGCCCUCUGGUGACCACACAUACCAUUCCCCCAGACUCCCAGCCAGCAGGCAGCUGUGACUGCAGAAGGUCAGGGUAGAGUGGGCCAAGGACUGACCACAUAGGGCUGGGGGGAGGGAGAGGUGACAUCUAGGGGACAGAGCAUUGUAUAGACUGGGAGACUGAACUGUAGACGAAGUUAAGUGUGAAUAAAAAUAAACGAACAGGCAGCAGUCCCUGUCACUUCUGUUGGAAGCAGCCCACUCCCUCCCUUUUACUCCCUCCCCCAAUCCUCAGUCAGAGUUGCUUACAGCCAGGCAGGAUGGGGCUUCCCCCAGAGCAAUGGGCCGCUUCUCCAGUGGUGCACAAUGCUGGCUGCGCCUUUGUGCUUUUAGAGUAGGCUGGGAUUAUGGAGACCGCCCAGGGACUUGGCUGGGUGGGAACCCUGUAAGACCCUUUUUGAUGAAAUUAUCUGGACUCAAUAUCUAGCACGUAGAAUGUGUUCAACAAAUAUUUGUUGACUGAGUGAAUGAUGACUGCAGACUGGUUCUCCUGCCUUAAACUCAUUUGAUCCCAGCCUCGUCUCCAGAUACCUACGCUCUUUUUGCGAUGCCAUGUAGCUUCAGUCAAAUAGGAAACAUUUACUGAGGGCUCGUUGUUUGCCUGUCAUUGUGCAAUAUGCCCUGGGACGAAGGAUGUAGUCCCGGUCUUCAAGGAGAUGGAAGAGUUGAGAGAUAGUCAUAGGAGAUUAUUACCAAUGACACCUUUAAUAUUUAUGAUGCUUUAAGAUUUUCAAAGCACUUUCAUGUAUUUUUUGUGUGAUCAGUGAGACAAUAUUGUACAGAGUAAAAUAUAUACAGAUGCAAUAAUGUUAAUAGUGAGCAUUUAUUAAAUGCAUUCUCCUCAGAUCUUUACAUGUAUAAUCUCAUUUCUUUCAUGUAAUUACCCUACUAUUCCCAUUUGAUGGAUAAGGAAGCUGAAAAACAGAAAACUUGUCCAAGGUUGCAUGGCCUUAAUUGGCAUAGCUAGGAUUUGAACUGAGUCUGUCUGACUCCAGAGUUUCAGCUGUUAACUAUUCUGUAGUUAGUUGCUGCCCUGAAAAGUACUGGAUUGGCCAAAGUUUUGUUCAGGAUUUUCCAUAAGAUGUUAUGGAAUGAAAUUUUUGACCAAUUCAAUAUUAUAUUGGAUAGUUGUUAUUCUUUAGUCACCAAGUCGUGUUUGAUUCUUUUGUGACCCUAUGGAUUGUAGCCUGCCAGGCUCCCCUGUCCAUGGGAUUUCCCAGGCAGGAAUACAGGAGUGAGUUGCCAUUUCCUUCUCCAGGGGAUCUUAGCAGGAGAGUGUGUGUGACAAGCCCUGAUGAUGCCAAUGAUGGUACAUGGGCCACCUUUUGUCAUUUAGCCCUAAUUGAAAAAUGGCCCGUAGCACUUGACUCCCUAGUGGUGGAAAAGACAGCUGAGACCCAGCAGUUCUUUCCGUGUAUUGUUCAUUCUGCUUGCUGAUGGGCCAGUGUGUAUCCCAACAACCCACCACGCACUCCUCACUCCCUCCCCAGCUUUGGGAAAGAGUCACAAUUAUAGGUAGAGAAUGAAAGGAAACACAACAUUAAUUAUGGGUUGUUUAUUUAAUCAGAGGCUCCGGCACUGCAGGAUCCGAUCACUGCUCAGGGUAGAAGCCAGCAGCACAGGUUAUAUUCACACAGUUCCUCAAAGGCUUCCAAUGGGGUCUGCAAGAAGGUGCUAGAAAUAUCCAGGGGCUGGCAGCUGCUUGUCGGUAGCUCAGCCUCUGGAGAAGGGAAACGGGGAAAAGCUGUUAUUGCUGCCAUGUAAUCCCCAACCUCAACCAUAUCCUUCUCUCUCUUCUCUUCCCUCAAAAUGGUUUACACGUGACCCCAACUCAAAACCAUGCUACCGCACUCACAGUACAGGCAAACGUGCAAACCUCCCCCCUUUCCAAGCCUCCAUCCCAGAAAGUUUGUGAAUUGGCAGAUGGCUCGUUAGGAUCUGAAGAUGAGGUCAGAGGUGGCCCGCAGAACCAGUUCACAUCGGCAGGGUCUCUCUUUGGUCUUCACGCAGUGAGGACGGACUCAGAGGAGCUAUUCUCAAUGUGGAGCGAGAGGGUCUUGCCUCACCGAGAGUUGGGGCAGGGCUGGACAGAUGAUGUUAAGAUUAUUGCCAUCCUUCCCAGAACUAGGUGAGGACAACCUUGUGGGACCUCAUAGAGCAAGUAACCAGGCCGUCUGCUUGUCUAGUGACGUAGACAUGCAUGCUGGGAACUCCAUUCACUGUGACCCACAGUUCAGUGAUCCCAAAGAAGAAGCUGCCUGGGGAGAUGUUUGAGGUGGUGGGACUGAAUUUUCUGUGCAUUUGUCCAGAGACUUCAGACAGCUGGUAAGCAACAUGAGGUUUGUUCAUCUUCCCAAACCUUCAGCUUCCUUCUCCUCAUCCUGCCCCCAAACAGAGACUAUCAUUUAAUACAGGUUUUGUUUGCAAAUGUCACUAACUGAGCUGAACUUGGAGUGCUCACUCUGGAUUUGACCUGCUUUGUCAUCUCCUGCUGGGACUUUGGUGAUAGAGACUUUGGAGAAAAAAAAUUACACUUUUGUUGUAAUUAUUAUGAGAGCCUCAGAUGUGUAUGGUAGAAAUAUUAGGGGAAAAAAAAGACAAAUUCUGCCCCAUAAUCCUACUGCUGGAGACAGAUAUUGUUAUCCUUCUGAAUGUUUCUUUUUGGUAUAAAUGUAUACAUGCACAUCCUUUUUAAACAGAAACUGGAUCAUACUGUACAUACUCCUUAAUAACCUACUUUUCAAAAUGUGUAUUUAUAUUUUAGAAUAUGUAAUACAUACACAGGUACAAAGUUCAAGAAGUAUGAAAAGCUCUAGCAUCAAAAGUAAAUCUCCUUCCCACCCUGUCUGCCAGCCUCUAGUUCUUCAACUACUUCUAUCUCCUUGCAGAGACAGUUACGCAUUUUCAAAUGUCUGUAUCUAUUGUGUCACAAUUGCCAGCAUAUUGGACACCCUUUCUGCACCUUGUGGUACUUCAUUCACAAUAUCAUGAACAUAACAUGUUUUGUGCAUCUCCCAAGCUUUUUCAAUAGCAUCCUCACUGGGUGAGUGGACCUUCAUUUGGUAGCCAAUCUUGUAAUAGUGACUAUUUCAUCUGUUCCCAAUCUCUACCGUAAAUAAUGUUGCAACAGACAUUCUCGUAGCUAAAUUUUGCACAUAUCUAGGACUAUUUCCUUAGGAUAAAAUCCAAGAAGGAAAUUACUUGGCUAUCUUUAAGAAAUUUGAUAUACGUUACCAACUGCCCUUCAGAAAGUUUGUACCAAAGUACUCUUCUUUUGCAGGCUUGAGAGUGCCCUGUUCCCUGCACCCUCACUACCAGUGGGUAUUAUCACUUAUCAAAUCUUUACCAAUUUGAUAGGAAAAUAAUAGUGUAUCAACGUUACACGAAUUCACACUCCUUUAUUAGUGAAUAGCAUCUUCACGUGCCUAUUGGCCAUUUGUACUUCUUUAUUUGUGAUUUUUCUAUUUAUUUGAUAUUGGUAUGUUUAUCUUUAUUAUCAAUAUGUACUUUUAUUAAGAAUAUUGUUUUUGGCAAGAAACAUUGCCAAUAUGCUUUCCAAGUGCUUUGCUUUCAAGUUUUGUUUAUGGUGCUUUUUGACAUACAUAAAUCUCAAUUCUGCAAUUAA